RNAcentral lists this ribosomal RNA (251 nucleotides) under uncultured bacterium. Its description in RNAcentral is "partial 16S ribosomal RNA". It matches the Rfam family "Bacterial small subunit ribosomal RNA", at positions 74 to 339 of the family's 1533-position model. The record is from RNAcentral.
UCUAGCUUGCUAGAUGUCCUUAGUGGCGGACGGGUGAGUAACGCGUGGGAACCAACCUUGGAGCGGGGAAUAACUAUUGGAAACGAUAGCUAAUACCGCAUACGCCCUUUGGGGGAAAGGCUUCGGCCACUCCUGGAUGGUCCCGCGUCUGAUUAGCUGGUUGGUGAGGUAAUGGCUCACCAAGGCGACGAUCAGUAGCUGGUUUGAGAGGAUGAUCAGCCACACUGGGACUGAGACACGGCCCAGACUCC